RNAcentral lists this long non-coding RNA (297 nucleotides) under Elaeis guineensis (African oil palm). Its description in RNAcentral is "long non-coding RNA (EGUI_LNC080285)". The record is from RNAcentral. Lineage: Eukaryota; Viridiplantae; Streptophyta; Magnoliopsida; Arecales; Arecaceae.
GGGGUUAUCGGAGAGCCAGAGGAGGGAGUCAGAGGAGUCAACGACGGCAAGGAAGAAUCAGAGGAAAAAAGGAAGAGGGAGAGAGAUUGCUAUCGAUGUUGAUGCCGUUACCCUUGCAGUCAUCGUUCCUCCUCCACUUUUCUUUGCGAUGGGCUCCUUCAAAACCCCACACUGCAGAACUUAGCUUGCACCUCCUUCUCCAUCUACGUCACCUCCACCGACGGCGACUUCACCGGCCAUGCUUUCUCUGCCACAGCCACUGCCACCACCACCCGAUAAAGACCCACGCCCUCAUCC